GAUGUUGGCAAGGCCACGAUGUGACCUAAACUAAAAUAUCUUAUCUUUCUUCCAGCUAAUCAGUGUUAUGAAGGACUAUUACUGCAUUUGGAAAUGGUGAAAGGAAAGAGGUUCUUCAAUCAGUAUGUCUUUUUUUCACAUCAACGUGGCACUUAACAAACAUAUUAGAGAACUGCUUCAUAGUUCAGUGUCAGCAGGGAUCAGUUGUGGAGAGGCCUGCAGCAUAUUUGGAAAUCAGCCAUCAAGAGUUGGCGUCAAUAUUGGCACGAAGAAGUUGCACAGAUAGCAAAGGAAUUUCAGGCUCAGUUACAACGGCCAUUGAUAAAGUACACUGGGGCUGGAACAGUGAACGUACUCACCAGUCUGCAGGUGCCUUCAAGCAGAAGAAAACCAAAAAGCAAGUACUUACGUUGGAAUUGGACAGGAGGAAAACAAACUCAGCUGAUCCUUUUCCGGGGUGGAAGGAAGAAAGGAGGAAAAACUACUGCAGUUCCUAAGGGAGCAGAAGCAACUGUUUAUGGAUGGAACUGAACUGAAGGCCAAAAGAGUGCAUAAACGAUGGUGAAGCUGAAGACAUGUGAGUGCUGGAUUGAUCUGGGGGUUGAAGGAUGAGUAAUAACUUCCUAAGCCGAGGAGAAUGAGUAGACAGAUGACUGGGU
RNAcentral lists this long non-coding RNA (659 nucleotides) under Struthio camelus australis. Its description in RNAcentral is "lncRNA (ENSSCUG00000017270.1)". Lineage: Eukaryota; Metazoa; Chordata; Aves; Struthioniformes; Struthionidae. The record is from RNAcentral.